GGGGCAGAGGGCAGUGGCAGCCGGGGCUGGCAGGGGGCCUUGUUUGGCUCCCCAGGUGGGUGGCGGUGGCGCGUGGGGUGAUGGCUCCCUGCGACUCCUGGUGAUGCUGGAGGCCAGGCCUGAUGCUCGGUGUGGGUUUACCCUACCGGAGUGACCCAGCACGACAAUCAUGGCUGUGUCCCCUGGGUCUUGAGGAGGAGAGGGGUUAUUUUGGUCAGAGACAGGCAGUGAGGACGGCCUCAGGCAGAGGUGCUGAAGCACCACGUCUAGGAUUGAGUGGCUUUGGUUUUACAGCUAAAGAUAGGGCGAUGCUUCUAUCCCCGAUAAGAGGAACGGGGAAAGGGCCAGAGAAGAGGGCUUGGCCCAGACACAGGGAGAUGAGACAGGGAGGGAAUCGUACCCAUUGAGUGUUGUGGAAAUCCUUUAUUCCGUCCAUGACAAUGCAGAGCUUGCACGGCCACCUCCCACCCAUCCCCUCCCCUGCACAAGGCCACCUGCUCCAAUCUCCUUUCUUAACAGCUCUUGGCUGCUACAGACGCAGGCAGGGACCUUUGAUUGUGUGGAAGCUUCUUGUUGAGAAAUUUCUGAAGCUUGCUUAGCCACUAAGGAGUCAGUUGAAAAUGUCUCUCUAAAGACUAAAGAAGACGUGAGACCCCUGCUUUGAGAACUCUGGAGUAAAGGAACCUGGCCUGGUAUCAGGAGAGGUGGAUGGAGUUCUGACUGCUGCUCACCAGCCGUGCAAUCCUGAGCAAGUUAUCCUAACACAGCCACGGAUUCCGACUCAGCGGCCCGCUAGCAUGGUAGCCCCAGGGCGGCCAGGGUUUGUCUGUUUGUCCUUUGCUGUAAUUCCCAGCGCCGACAACAGUAACUGGUACAUGGUGGUCUUGCUGAAUAAGUGAACAAGUGCCUACCUAGCACAUUGUACCAAGGAUCAUACGAUAUUAACGUAUUUAACAUUUUUUAACUAAAAAGUAUUAGAAAAAUGUUAUUCAGUGCAUCUGUGCCUUGUAAAUGUGGCAUAAAAGUGACACAUAGAUAAGUCUAAAUAUGUGUAAUACAGAGCUUUCUUUUUCCCAGUCCCCACACAAAAAUCUUAAUUCCUCUACCAUGUUCCCCACACAAGAAAAGGCAAAAAAAACAAAAAAAAAAAACAAAACAAAACCAAGUACUUCAAUAAAAAGGUGGGACGCUUCAAGCGAGAGACAACUGAAUUAACUUUAUUCUCUUCUAACUGCAGAUUCAAGGUAUACAACUGAACAUUGCUAUUUUUCUUAUGAGACUUAUAAAUAAAAAUACAAAAAAUGUUCACUACAAAAAAAUCUACUGUUAGUAGGAUGUAAAAAAUAUUCUCUUUGCUAUAGAAGGCACAAACUUCACUUAGUGACACAUGGAGAGAGAAAAAAACCUGCAGCAGUAAAUUCAUUUUUUCUUUUUUUUUCCUUUUUUUUUUUUUUUAAAUCUUGUCAGAAACACUGAAAUUACAAAGAAACGCGUCAAUCUACACGAAACGAAGGCAGAUGCGGAAAGCUGCAACCAGGACUGCACAACUUCGAGUGAAACUGCUUCGGAACUAGAACAGAUAAGGAGCGGCAAGCACAACUCGGGGAAGUGGGCUGGGGAGGGGGCAGCAGGAGGCAGGAGAGAGGGAGAGAGAAUGGAGUGGACAGAAAUGAGACGGGGAGCCAGAGGGAGGAGGGGAGGGCGGGAGAGGGAGAUGGAGAGGGCAAGGGUGAGAGGUGGGGAGGAGAGAAAGAGAGAAAGAGAUUGAUUUGUACAAAAAAGUAACCAGUAAAAUUGAAGAAACAAAAUUGGGCAACCUCCUAAAAUUAGGCUAAGAGGAGGUGCUGAGGUAGACAUUAACUAGAACAUUGAUGAAUUAAAAACACUAUUCUGUAAUACAGAGCAAUCCGACUGGCACUUGUGCUAUCACGACAUAAGACAAGCCACAAAAACAAACAAAUAACAAAACGAAACAUAAUACCCAAACCAAAAGGCUUAGUUUUGCUUGGUCCAGCAGGGCAGCAGGGCCCUCAGUGCUAUAAUUUACAUACAUAUAUAUAUAUAUUUAUCUUUAUAUAUACGGGUUGGAUGUCAUGGUGCACCACCACGGCUUCUUAACCUUACGAAGAUCAUGCAUAACACUAUGUGAACAAAUCCUAUGAUACACACCAGGAGGCUGGUACCCUGUCUGCGAAGUUGGAUGCCAAGGGCCCGGGGAGGCCGCAGCUGCUGGCUAACCGGCCUGCAGGGCCUGCACCCCUCUUUCUCCCCACCCUUUUCCCCUGACCCAACCUCUCUGGUUUGUCCUGCACCCCUCUCCUGGCCAUCUCUGCCUUUUUCCUCUCCCCAUCUGUCCCACCGCGUAGGGUGAGUCUCGCCUUUCAUCCUCCCACUGAAAUAUCCAGGUAAGUGCCACCAUUACAGCCAAGCCGGCAGAGGCUCCAGGAAGGAGGAGGUAUGAUGGGAGGGGGAAAGAUGACCACAGGAUGGGCCUAGGAAAAGUGAAUGAACAGAGUCUCAUCUUCUGCUUUUCUGUCUCACAUCCUGGUGCGCCCCCAGUUUUCACCCUAGCUCGGCUUGCCGGGAAGCAGGCCCAGAAACUACCCUGACCCUGCCAGCCGUCAUGGACAGAGUCGAAAGGCUGCCCCACCUCUGCUCUCUCCCCUAUAGGGAGGUAAGCUCAAUGGCCCUCUUCCAUCCACAGCAAUUGUACCAAUAGCAUCCAGAAAGGUACCAUACACUUGUGAAAAAUUGCAGCAGUUUUUUUUUCUUUUUUUUCUCAACAUGGAAAAACUGUUCAGGCACAAAGAUUAAACAAGCCCGCGUUGCAUCCCUUGGAUUGUACUGAAUCACUGGGUCCCCCAGCCUCCCUACCUACCCCUGCACCCCAGAUCUGCCUUCCCCAUAUUCAUGGCCUCCUCCUCCAAAGCAGCCCAAAGCAGCAAUGAUAUUUACUAUUUUAUAUCAAUCUCUUGCUAUAUAUAUAUAUAUCUAUAUAUCUAUAUAUUUGUCUAUCCUAUAUAUACAUAGGAUUUUAAUGCUUUGAAUGAGUGAAGGAGUGAAUAGGGAAAGAGCACAUGAGGUGUAAAUGUCACCAAAUGCAUUAAGGGACAUAUUUGUAGGAGCUGGACAUGGGAAAGGGACUAUUAACCAACGUGGCCUUGCCAGGCUGGAGAAGUUUUUCACUGUGCUGGAUAAGGCAGUAGCAAGCAGGGUUGUCAGCAGUACCACAGCUAAAGGCAGCCAGGGGGCCGAAGGAGUCAGGUGGCAUGAAGAAGAGGGGAGGACAGAUAUUCAGAUCCCACCUGGGGAGAGACCCCUGUCUACCCUCCUCCUCUCCCCUUAACUCCAGACACAUAUAAAGCCUCCAGACAGCCUCUUAGCUUGCCCCCUGGCCACUAGGCCGUGCAACAUUAGAACUGUUCUGUUGUUGUAGGUAGGAAGUUGGAGAAGAGGCAUGUUAGACUCUAUUCAGGUGUCUUCAUGGGGAGAGGAAGGUACAGUAAGUUCAGAGGUGUCCCCAGACAGUAGCCCUCAGAAACCACACUCCCCUGAGCUCUCCCCAUACCUCCCUACUGGGGUCUGCAGGGCCCACGGGGUUGGGUGGGGCAUCCAGGUGCUGAUUUAGUACCAUCCAUUGCUGCAACACCAGAUUACGACAAUACUGCAUGAUUUAACACACAACCACACACACAAAGCACACGCGCACACGCACAUACAUGUACAAAGGGAUAUUUUGGUGGUGGUGGAUUUUUUUUUGUCUUUUGUCUUCCUAUUCACAUUACAAAAGGAAAGGGCAAGGUUCUGCAGAACUGACGAAGGAACUAACAGAUACUACAAAAAUAUUACAAUUUGUGAAGAUUAGCUCAACCCUCUCAGCUUUUAUGAAUGGAGCGGGGAGGGGCCCAGGCUGAGUGGGAAGGGCAUGGGAGUGAGGGGGCCAGCUAGUUCUAUGGAAUAGUUUGAUUUUUUUCUCUUCCUUCCCCACCAAUGUUGAAUGACAUCUUGCUGUUAAAAAUACUGUUUUCUGGGAUUUACAGAUCCCCUGAGGGCCAGCCAGUCCCCGCUUCUUCCCAGACCAGAGGAGGAAGCCAUAGUGCAUAAUGAUUUCUUACAGACGGCCCCUCCCCCAAAUGAUUUCACCCUUUUCACAUUAUAAACAUGACAACUGUUCUAGUCACGUAUUUCAAGUUUAACUUCUUUUCCUUUCCAAAACACUAAGUCGUUACUAUAGUUGCAAAAUAGCAUCCUCCCUACUUUACCAUCCCUAAUCCACAGUCUAGUGACACCGUCCUCCCAAUUCACAUCCUCCCAACACACAAUUUUAAGGCCUUCAGAUUUGGUGGAUGAGAUUGAAGGGGAGGGCAGGAGGGCUGGGGCCGAGGGACGGGGGGGUCGUCGCAGCAGCACCCAUCCCUCCGGCUUCCCUACAUUCCUCGUGAUCCUUCUCCCCAAAACCGCUUCCCUAAACCACUUUGUAAAACCUAAGAUCAAAACGCAGCCACAACUUUCUCAGAGAGAGAAAGGAAAGAAAAAAUAAUAAUAAAAAACUCUUACACAUAAAGCAUGAGAUGAAACGGAGGGUCCGUCCCAAAGCAAACACGAAUAUUGCAAAUGUGCUUUCCAAAAUUCAGGAGGGUCGGGGGAGGUUGGGGAAAAGAGGGAGGAAGAGCAGCAGAAUGGGAGGCGGGAAAGGAACAAAAGAACAACUGGACAAACAUAAGAGGUAGCUUUUAGAAAAACAACACCCCCACCCCAACACAACAAAACAAAGGCUGGAUCCCGCCCCCCUCCCCAAAGACCAGCCGUGAAAAUAGACCAAUUCUGGCAAUGAGAAUGCACGCACAGAGGUGAGACCACACAGUUGCAAGGAUCCAAACACAGGCCCUCAAACCUCAAUGGCCCAGCAAAUUGUAAGAAAGGUGGGAUUCUCUCCAGAGUGUUUUAGGCGGAACGGAUGGUGGCCACAGGUGACUUCAUGCACCAGCGGAGCCAAAAGUGACUCCCUAGUGCCCUCUGGGGACCAUGAGACCCCAAAGCAACAUCCCCUCCCCACCCACGCUCUUCGCCCUCCUCGGCCCUCACAUUCAGAUCCUGAGUAUCAACUCCUCCUGCACAGUUCCUGCCAGCUGGGAGGCUGGUCUCCAGGGGCACGGGGAGGGUCUUGACCAGCUGAAGUCUAUAAAAACAACUAUUAAUUUACACAAGAAACAGAAAAGAACACCCUCCCCAUUCCUCCAAGCCCCAACCGAAAAAGAGAUACAGAGCCCUUCUCCUCCCCAGUCAGCCGCCAGCAAACUAGAGCUGCCAUUUUGAGCAGCUAGUGACCCAGCCCAGACCCAUCAGCAGGGGAGCGCCCUUCUGGCUCACCUCCUCCCUCCCUUCAUCUCCUGGGGGUCUUGGUGGAGGAAGGCCGGCACAGACCGUGUGGCUCUGACCAGAGGACCUCUCACCUGCUUUCUAGCCUCCAUUUCUGGACACAUAAAAGAAGGUCUGGGUGAAGGAAGGAGAAAAAUGUGCCACCAUUUGAGUGAACAAAAUACCCAACCCCAUCCCAGAAAAUCAGGCAAACCUCCAGCCGGGAGAGGAGGGUGGAGGCCCCCAGAGGAGGGGCAGUGGCUUGGCAUCCAGGUCAUCUGGAGCCCAGAGAGAAUCCAAGGCCAAAAAGCUACCAGGUUUCCUUUUCCUUCUGUUUUUUUUUUUCUUUUCCUUUUUUAUUUGUCAUAGUCCUUCCUUCAUCUCACUCCAACUCUUCUUUCCUGGCUCCCCGCUCGGCUCCACCGCCGCGGGCCUCCCUUCACA
This 5802-nucleotide long non-coding RNA is filed under the name Homo sapiens (human). RNAcentral's name for it is "HSALNT0181372". Lineage: Eukaryota; Metazoa; Chordata; Mammalia; Primates; Hominidae. The record is from RNAcentral.